AUUGAACGCUGGCGGCGUGCCUAACACAUGCAAGUCGAGCGGUAACAGGUGUAGCAAUACAUGCUGACGAGCGGCGAACGGGUGAGUAAUGCUUCGGAAUCUGCCCAUGUAGUGGGGGAAUAACCAGCCGAAAGGUUGGCUAAUACCGCAUACGACCUACGGGUGAAAGCAGGGGAUCGCAAGACCUUGCGCUAUUGGAUGAGCCGAAGUCGGAUUAGCAGUUGGUAGGGUAACGGCCUACCAAGGCGACGAUCCGUAGCUGGUCUGAGAGGACGACCAGCCACACUGGGACUGAGACACGGCCCAGACUCCUACGGGAGGCAGCAGUGGGGAAUAUUGGACAAUGGGGCAACCCUGAUCCAGCGACGCCGCGUGUGUGAAGAAGGCCUGC
RNAcentral lists this ribosomal RNA (391 nucleotides) under uncultured bacterium. RNAcentral describes it as "bacterial SSU rRNA". It matches the Rfam family "Bacterial small subunit ribosomal RNA", at positions 30 to 419 of the family's 1533-position model. The record is from RNAcentral.